AGAUCAUCCUCAGGUAAUGCCCAUUGACUCAGCUCUUGUUCACCGACUGGAACUUUAUCGAUCUCAUAAGAUCGAUACGCAAUAGCAAUACAGCGCAAACUGCCGGCUGGCCUGCCAUAUCUUCAAUAGCUUUCUUGAAAAAUAAAGCCUUUUCAUCAUCCAUUGGUUCGAUGUUAUCAUUUUCACCAAAGUAAGCUGUACAUGAGGAUAAGACUAUUUCAGCAGCCCCCUUCCAGU
RNAcentral lists this unclassified non-coding RNA (237 nucleotides) under Hevea brasiliensis (rubber tree). Lineage: Eukaryota; Viridiplantae; Streptophyta; Magnoliopsida; Malpighiales; Euphorbiaceae. The record is from RNAcentral.